GUCCAUCCUUUUUCAUCUGUUUCCUUGGCCAAGUUACUCCAUUUCUCCAAUAGCUGGUCUAUCAUCAUAUACACAGUAUAUCCAGAGUAAUAUUCAGUCCGUUUUUUUUGGUCCUUUUCUUUGGCCAUGGAUCUGUAUUUCUCCAAUAGCUUGUUUCUCUUCCCUUCGUCUUUGAAGUCCUCAUCUCCGAAGUGCAACAUUGUUGCCUCAUGUAAUGCCGUUUUAC
This 226-nucleotide unclassified non-coding RNA is filed under the name Hevea brasiliensis (rubber tree). Lineage: Eukaryota; Viridiplantae; Streptophyta; Magnoliopsida; Malpighiales; Euphorbiaceae. The record is from RNAcentral.